UAGAGUUGUAAAACUCCCAAACCCAUGUGAACAUACCUCUGUUGCCUCGGCGGCCUGCCCGGCGGCUACCCUGUAGCAGCCCCGCGGUCCGCCGAAGGACUACAAAACUCUUGUUAUUUUAUAGUAAUCUGAGCGUCUUAUUUUAAUAAGUCA
This 153-nucleotide unclassified non-coding RNA is filed under the name uncultured Xylariales. Its description in RNAcentral is "sequence contains ITS1". The record is from RNAcentral. Lineage: Eukaryota; Fungi; Ascomycota; Sordariomycetes; Xylariales.